GGGCGUUUGGCUGAGCAGCAAAGGCACCAGACUGUAAAUCUGGCGGGUUCUACCCUUCGCAGGUGCAAGUCCUGCAGCGCCCACAA
RNAcentral lists this transfer RNA (86 nucleotides) under Candidatus Staskawiczbacteria bacterium. Its description in RNAcentral is "tRNA-Tyr". It matches the Rfam family "tRNA". From Rfam's summary of the family: Transfer RNA (tRNA) molecules are approximately 80 nucleotides in length. Their secondary structure includes four short double-helical elements and three loops (D, anti-codon, and T loops). Further hydrogen bonds mediate the characteristic L-shaped molecular structure. tRNAs have two regions of fundamental functional importance: the anti-codon, which is responsible for specific mRNA codon recognition, and the 3' end, to which the tRNAs corresponding amino acid is attached (by aminoacyl-tRNA synthetases). tRNAs cope with the degeneracy of the genetic code in two manners: having more than one tRNA (with a specific anti-codon) for a particular amino acid; and 'wobble' base-pairing, i.e. permitting non-standard base-pairing at the 3rd anti-codon position. Lineage: Bacteria; Candidatus Staskawicziibacteriota. The record is from RNAcentral.